UGGGCCAAGAACAUGGUGUUUGGUAAAAUCUCUAAAAGCUGCUUUUGGUUGAAAUUGCUUCUCUGUAAAGCUGAAUUUGGGAAGCUACAAUUUGUAGCUUUUGAAGACCUGCUUUGGGAAAACACGGAGCAUGAACAGUAGAGUUUAAUGAAAAUUUGGAGAACUGCAAAUUCUGUCCUCCUCCUUUUUCUGAAAAUUACAUCGAAAAACAGCAAACCCUAUCUUUUCUCCAUCGCGAGAGGCAGACGUCUCAUUCCACAUCUCCUCCUUCCUCUUCUUCGGUGUCUGGUUCUCCCUAGUCUUCUCUCAGAUCGCCUUCUUCUUCUGCUCGUCACUGGUGACCUCAUUCAAUUUGUGGAUUGUCGCUGCCUUCCUCCGCGCCGUCUUCUUCAGCUCGUCGUGGAUUCUCGCCGCCUUCCUCUGCGUCUUCUUCUUCAGCUCGUCGGUGGUGACCUUCAAUUCGUGGAUUCUCAUCAUUGAAAGAUGUACCAGAUAGUGCUUUGAUUCUGAGGAAACAUGGACUGAGGAGCAAUCUAGUCUCCUGCCUAAGGGACCAGUGGUGGUGAAUCUAAGGGAGGACCCAAAACUAAAAAGACCAAAAGGGCAGGCAAUGAUUUGUUGUAUGCCAAUGGCAGCUGUUGCAGUAAGUGUCAGAGGUAUCUUUUGGAGAUGUGGGGGGAAUCCCCUGGUUGAUUUUGUCUGUACCAGAAAGAAGGUGAUAGAAAAGGAAUAAAACAGAUAAGGAAGAAGCAGGGAGAGGAUAGAAUAAAGAAAGAAUAGAAAAUAAAACAAAGGCCAAGCAACUACUAUUUGUGAAAGCAAGCAAUGCAGAGUUGUGGGAGAAUAUAGGUUUAAGAAGCUUGCUUACACUGACCUCUGCGACCAAUUUGAAAAAGAAGAAAAUGAAGGCACUUAUUCCUCAGGUCACACAGAUUAUAUAUUUUGGAGGGCUUUCUAUGUUGUGUGUUGGUCCAAUGAUGUUGUGUAGUAGUUCAAUCGAUAUCUUUGGCAUAGUUUCAAUCCAAUUCAGGUGUAACAAGAACAUUUUCAAGGUGAUGUUGGAGUUAUGAGUUUGGCAAAUGGAUACUCUGACCUCAAAACUGCCGACUUGUGCAGUUGUGUUCUUAUAACAGGACCUACGAUCGGGGAAGAUGAUUGGGACGGGAACUGAAUGGGAGAGUCUCUACUACUUAGACGUUUCCAAAGGUGCUCAGUGCAACUCAGUCAAAACCCCUAAAUCCAAUCUCUGGCACCAGCGCCUUGGGCAUCUAUCCAAUAAAGUGUUGCAUUCCCUUUCAUUUUCGGUUAAUGAAAUUGAAUCAUGUGAUGUUAGUGAUUGUUCCAUUUGUCCGUUAGCCAAGCAAACUCGAUUGCAAUUUCCCUUAAGUUCUAUUUCUAGCAAUGAACCUUUUGAAUUAAUAAUUCAUGUUGACAUUUGGGGUGGUUAUAAAGUUGCAUCUCUUUCUGGAGCUCA
Rosa rugosa (rugosa rose) is the source of this 1474-nucleotide long non-coding RNA. RefSeq lists it as uncharacterized. The record is from RefSeq and is a predicted model, not a curated record. The transcript has 4 exons. NCBI's taxonomy places the organism in Eukaryota, Viridiplantae, Streptophyta, Magnoliopsida, Rosales, Rosaceae.